This is a long non-coding RNA of Triticum aestivum (bread wheat), 1046 nucleotides long. RefSeq lists it as uncharacterized. The record is from RefSeq and is a predicted model, not a curated record. The transcript has 2 exons. Lineage: Eukaryota; Viridiplantae; Streptophyta; Magnoliopsida; Poales; Poaceae.
AGAUCACAUAUUCCUUUGCUAGAACACGUGAGCUGAUUCCGACUUUGGCCUCAAGUUGCUCCCGUCAAUGACAAGUGGGAGGAGUGGGAGUGCUGUGUUCAUGAAAUUGAGUAUCUCAGAAGAAUUUGGUUUGGCACUUAUUUUCCUCAACCUGUUAUUCUUCAAAUGUGCUUCCCAUGGAUUUGAUAAAUUUGGUGAGAUAAUGUUAUGUGUCAGGUAUGGCCAUAAGAUACUCAUGAAACUUAUUUUAUUUUGCCUCACACAAGAUGUAUGUUGUUUAGACUCAUGUACUGCCAGUACUGGUAGAUCGAUGAUCUAAGGAUCAUAUGAAUGAUUAAUGGAGGAUAAUUCAUAUUCAGUUCUCCUCUCAAUUUUUGUGGUGCCAAGCUUGAUCUUUAUCCAUCUAACUGACUGAAAGUGCCUUCUAAUCACUAUUGAACGCAUAUGUUAGUUAGUUUGACUGUAUACACCACACAAAAAGUAAAAAAUGAAUUCUAGAAAAAAUUAGACACAAAUACUACAGAACCAGUGGACCCUCGAGAAACAAAAGGCACACCUAAAGGAUUUUUUUCUUAACAAAAUGUAUUAAUUUGACUAUUUAAAUAUAAAAAAUGUGCAAUCGCAAUCUUGCUUUUUCAAGGAAAACAGGGGACUGCUACAUACUCGAUAUGGAUCGAGGCUAAUUAUUGAUCUUCCAAGUUAAAAAAUCUGAAAAUAACUUUCAUUUAGUAAUGGAUACAUAGUCAAGAAAGGAUGCCUUUCCCGAAAGAUACAAAACAAAAUCGUGUUCGUGUAUGUCCGGCUGACAGAUGAAUCGAUCUCCUUUCAAGUAUCAACCCAGCAACCUUCGUGUACGUACAUGUGUGCAUCAAGGAUGCACGGGUCCAUUGGCCUGCGUACCACACAUCCCUUCACUAAUUCCAUCAGUAUCAUUCUUAACAAGGUAAGUAUGAUUCCCUAAUCCCUGAUUUUAUUAAUUGAUCUUUGAUGCUUCAUCCCUAAUGUCGUUAUACCUUAUUGAUUCUAUAAAAGAUCUCAAACAGGAA